AGGAGGAGCUUGCUUCUCUGGAUGAGUUGCGAACGGGUGAGUAACGCGUAGGUAACCUGCCUGGUAGCGGGGGAUAACUAUUGGAAACGAUAGCUAAUACCGCAUAAUAGCAGUUGUUGCAUGACAGCUGUUUGAAAGGUGCAAUUGCACCACUACCAGAUGGACCUGCGUUGUAUUAGCUAGUUGGUGGGGUAACGGCUCACCAAGGCGACGAUACAUAGCCGACCUGAGAGGGUGAUCGGCCACACUGGGACUGAGACACGGCCCAGACUCCUACGGGAGGCAGCAGUAGGGAAUCUUCGGCAAUGGACGGAAGUCUGACCGAGCAACGCCGCGUGAGUGAAGAAGGUUUUCGGAUCGUAAAGCUCUGUUGUAAGAGAAGAACGAGUGUGAGAGUGGAAAGUUCACACUGUGACGGUAUCUUACCAGAAAGGGACGGCUAACUACGUGCCAGCAGCCGCGGUAAUACGUAGGUCCCGAGCGUUGUCCGGAUUUAUUGGGCGUAAAGCGAGCGCAGGCGGUUAGAUAAGUCUGAAGUUAAAGGCUGUGGCUUAACCAUAGUACGCUUUGGAAACUGUUUAACUUGAGUGCAAGAGGGGAGAGUGGAAUUCCAUGUGUAGCGGUGAAAUGCGUAGAUAUAUGGA
RNAcentral lists this ribosomal RNA (644 nucleotides) under uncultured Bacilli bacterium. Its description in RNAcentral is "bacterial SSU rRNA". It matches the Rfam family "Bacterial small subunit ribosomal RNA", at positions 71 to 702 of the family's 1533-position model. Lineage: Bacteria; Bacillati; Bacillota; Bacilli. The record is from RNAcentral.